RNAcentral lists this long non-coding RNA (2674 nucleotides) under Sus scrofa (pig). RNAcentral describes it as "lncRNA (ENSSSCG00025024412.1)". Lineage: Eukaryota; Metazoa; Chordata; Mammalia; Artiodactyla; Suidae. The record is from RNAcentral.
CGUUUCUAAGAAGAGGACUUGCUUCCUAUUUCCUGGAAAGCAUAUCAGGAGCAGUUACUGAUAUUUGAAUAUGCUCUUACAUUAGGCCUAAACCAUAUAUCUUUGUGAAAAGAAAUUCAAUAAUCUAAGAGAAAAUAAUUGUGUUUCUUAGGGAAUUUCUCCAGUAUCUUUAUAACUGUAUUUGUUCUAAAUUAUAGAUUGUAGCCUUAUCUGCAGUGCUUCAUUAAAGAGAUGAAAAUAUAAGCUUCUUUCCAUAAUAAUUCCUGUUUAGUAUGAUUUAUAAAAUUAUUACUAUGUUUAAAUGAUAACCUAAAUGUUUCUGGCCUCUAAAUGAGCACAGCCUCUGUUCCUAUAGCCCUUAAGGAACCUUGAGUAAUAAGGAAGAAUUGAACUGUUUUUUGUUUGUUUGUUUUUUCUUUUUGUUUUUUGGCCAUAUUCCCAGCAUGUGGAAGUUCCUGGCCCAGGAAUUGAACCCAUGCCACAACUGUGACUGAAGCCACUGCAGUGACAAUGAUGGAUCCUGUACCCACUAUGCCACAAGAAAACUCCCUGGUUUCGGCCCCCCCCCCCAUAAUAUUUCCCUUUUCAAAAGAUCCCAAAGCACCUUAUAAAUGGGAAGAUAGUAUCACCUGUCUGGAGUGCUAAAUGUCUUAAGUCAGAUAUACUGUAAAAGAGCUAAGGAUUAGAUGAGGUAAAGAUUUAUCUAGUUUUAUCCGUAGAAGAAUGUGCGAAGUUAUUAUUAGAUGGUUGUUUAUUUCCAUAAGCUAUUUUUUAAAAAAAGUUUUAUUGAAGCAUAAUUAAUUUAUAAGGGUGUGAUAAUUUCUGCUGCACAACAAAGUGACCCAGUCAUACAUAUACACAUAUCUGUUCUCUCUCAGAUUCUUUUCCCACAUAGGUAAUCACAGAAUAUUGGGUAGAGUUCUCUGUGCUAUACAGCAGGUCUCUGUUGGCCAAUUGGUCCAUAUACCUCAGUGUGCAUAUGCCAGUCCUAAACCACUAGUCCAUCCCUCCCACUCCCCCCUCUGUCCCCUUUGGUAACUGUUAGUCUUUCAAAGUCUGUGUGUCUGUUUCUGUUCUGCAAAUUCAUUUGUAUCCUUUUUUUCCCCUCCACGUAUAGGUGAUAUUUUUAUGAUAUUUGUCUUUCACUGUCUAACUUCACUUAAUAUGAUAGUUUCUAGGUCCUUCUGUUUAUUAAGGUAGGUUUAGGGAACAUGUCAAAAAAGUGUGUUUUAUGUGUUUUUUACCUGCCAGCUUGCUUGCUUGCUUGUCCUUGUUUUUUUAUUUUUGUUUUUUUCCAAAAGAAAAUGGCUUUAUUUUUCAAUUAAAAAAAUUUUUUUUCUGAUUUAUAAAAUAGUUUUUGCUUAUUGUUAGGAUAUUCAAACAAUACUGAAAAGUACAAAGAAAAAAAGCAACAAUCACUUAAAUUCCCACUACUCAGAAGUAAUCACUCUUCCAGACAGUACGAAACAGUUUACAUACAUGUACUUACUGUUUUCUAAAAAAUGAAUUAAAUAUGCUGUUGUACAGCUGACAUCUUUUACUGAAUAAUGUACUGUGGACAUCUUUUCAUGGAAACAAGUGUAGUCUGUAUCAUCAUAUUUCUUUGGCUGUGUAGUGUUACAUGUUGCCUUCGCCAUCAGUUUUAUCAUGUAUUGUACAUUUGCUUUAAUCACGAAUCUCUCUUCAGAUACUUUAUACCUUUUGGGAGGCUUAGUUUAAAAUAUGGCAUUAUCCUCAACUGGAAAUUAAAUUCAUUCAUUCAGUAGUUAUUUAUUGAGUGCUUACUAUGUCUUAAUUGCCAUUUGAGGAACUUGGAAUGUAUCUGCUGCUCUUGUGGAAUUUAUAAUCUUGUAACAUAUAGAACAUGUUAAAAUCGGUGAAGAAGAACUUCUCUUCUCUCUGCCCAGAUUGAAAGAGGAGAUGAAAGGAGCAGUCAUCGUGGAUGUUUAUUAGAGAAUGGGCUAAGGGCCAGAGGCCUGUCCAAGGAGAUUUACAAAUAUAUCAUUUUUAGCUUCCCUAUUUCAUUUCUUGUUAACAGUCAUGAUUUGUUCUAAAAUGUGAGUGUUAUGUCUGACUUUGCUUUAAUGUUGCACCUAUGUCUACUUACGAAUUUAAAAAAUUUCAGGAAUGUCAACAAUUACUUUUUUUGAAAAUAUUAGUGUUCCUGCUUAACAGUAUCCAAAGCUAUACUUUGAUGAUCUCCAUAUAGAACCUCAAUACUUAAUUUGCUGACUUUAUGAUUAGCCACAGAGUCUUUUGUCUUACUUGUGUUUUCCCAAUAAUAAUUCAUCCUUAAAGAGGGGAAUUGAUUUUUAUGAUUAUAUGUAGUAAACACAAGAUAUACCAUGUACAUGUAAUUACAAAGCAGUUGUAGUGGCAAAUCUAAGAUCCUAUGACAUCCAUUAUCGAGAUCUCAUAAUUUCCCUCAGUGAGCAUUUGAAAAAAUUAGAAUGCAAUCUCAAGAAGUGUAGGUUAACAAUCAUACAAGUGGAGUUCCCAUUGUGGCUCAGUGCUUAAUGAAUCCGACAAGCAUCGAUGAGGACGCGAGUUUGAUCCCUGGCCUUGCUCAGUGGGUUAAGGAUCCAGUGUUGCUGUGGCUGUAGUGUAGGUUGGCUGCUACAGCUCCAAUUUGACCCCUAGCCUGGGAACCUCCAUAUGCCGUGGGUGCGGCCCU